Molecule: long non-coding RNA, 2202 nt
Filed under: Homo sapiens (human)
Lineage: Eukaryota; Metazoa; Chordata; Mammalia; Primates; Hominidae
Description: HSALNT0026638
Source: RNAcentral
AGAAGAUGCGCUGUUCCAGGGGCCUGGGUGGGAGCAGCCCAGGAGCCUGCGUCUCCCCUCCUCGGCCCUGGGAGGCGGCUGGACUGUGCCACACGGGACGGGUGCUGAGGGACCGCUGGGUGCCCACCUCCCUGACCCCUCCUGCAGGGGUGCCUGCCAAGCAGCCUGGGCACUGCCGUCUGGAAGAUGCGCCGUGCCGGUUCUACACGGUGUUCCCUUGCUCCAGGCAGAAAGGCAGAGGAGCCUGGCAACCAUGUCCCAAGUUGGAAGGAAGCUCUGAGAACCCUGCUCCCCAGAAAUCCUGAGCAAAGGCUGGCUGGCCUACAGGAGCAGUCUAGAGUAAGAGCUGUUUCCUGGCAGAGGAUCAAGUAUCCAGGUCACAUUGAAGAGACAUGUGAGGACUCCAAUGGAGAACAAUUUGAGAGUGAGAAACCAGUUCUGGAGGCCAGGAAGUUCAAGAUCAAGGUGUUGGCAAGUUCAGUGUCUGCUGAGGACCUGAUCUCUCUUCUUUCAAGAUGGCAUCUUGUUGCUCUUCCCUCCAGAGAGUAGAAAUGCUGGAACCUCACAUGGAGGAAAAAAUGAAAAGGACCAAUGCUAGUUCCCUUCAGCCUUUUUAUGAACUCACUAAUUCCCAUUGAGGGCUCCACAUACAUGACUUAAUCACCUCCUAAAUGCCUGACUUCCUAAUACUCUCAUUUUGAAGAUUAAGUUUCAACAUAUGAAUUUGGGGGUCAUAUUCAGAACAUAGCACUUAUGAUACUAUCUCAAAUCAUAGACUGCUUUCUCGGUGGGCAUCUAUCUCAGUUUCUUUUCUGUUGUUAUUACAGAGUACCUGAGCCUGAGUAAUUUAUAAAGAAAAUACAUUUAUUUUGGCUCAUGGCUCUAUAGGCUGGGAAGUCCAAGAUUGGGCGGUUACAUCUGGUUGGCUCCUGGUGCGGGCCUCCUGCCGCAUCAUAACAAGGUAGAGAAGUGAAAGGGAAGGUGGGCUUGUAGGAAGGGGGCAAAGCAUGAAGGGCAGGCUUGCUUUAUAGAAACUGGGACACAGCACCCCACAGGAUGAGUGUAUAAAGGCUAGACAGACAAGGGGAUUGUUGUGUUGAACCUGAAAAGUCCCCUCACCUGGCAAUGCUCUCUGUUCCCUGUGAGAAGAAGGGGUUUCUUUUCUUCUGGGAUGAUUCAUCCCUUCACCUGUGGCCUUCCCUAGAGCCCAUCCUUGUGCCAUUCUGCUCUCCAGGCACAUCUCUCUCAGAUGAAUUCCCUCUUCCCUCUUCCUCUGGCCCCUCCUGUUUAUUUAUCUGUUUCCUCACCACUGUGUAAUCAGGUAGGCCCCACUGCUGUGACCUCUGGAAUAAUGAUUGAAUCUGCCCUAUCCUCUCCACAGUGAUGCCUGGGACCCAGCUGAGAUCUCCAUCAUCUCUCAAAACAACUGUGCACUGACCUCCUGACCUAAGCCCAGCCUCUGCCCACUCAGACUGACCUUCACGCAGCUGCACAAUGCUGCAUUUGGAAGCCGGACCUGACCACAUUCGUUUCCCUCUGUUGAGAUUCAUGUUCUGGAGAAAUGAAAAUGCUGUCUCAGUGGAAUGUUGAUUAGCUGGAGUGGAGACCCAAGAUCUCUGUCCAGGCAGGGCCAUCAGAACAUAGAAGUGCUCUUGGCUUUCCAAAAUCUGCACAUCUCCAACUUUUCUUUUAGCUAGAGGUGGCCCUGUGAUUGAUGAGUGACCAGCCAUGUGUGGAGAAAAGCAAUGUGAACAACUUCUGACUUCGCUGUUAAAGAAAAUUGGUCUGUCCCCCAUUUCCUUGCAUUCCCAUUCUUACUGGCUGAAAUUCAAAGCUGAUAAAUGGAGCUAGAGCAGAUAGCUGGGAAAAUGAGUUGAGGGUCUUACAUUAAGACUUGCCAGCAAGAAGAAGAAUUUUUCCAGGGUUCCUGACACCGCCAAAUUGUUCGAUCAGCUCUGAACUCUAUACUGAGAUUCUUUAAGUAUGAGAGACAUGAACUUUGACUGGCUUAAGUGAGCUAUUGAGGUCUCUUUGCUAUUGUGACCUAACUCAGGGGUCAGCAAAUAACACUCUGUGCGCAAAAUCUGACUACGAUCUGUUUUUGUAACUAAAUAAAAUUUCACUGAAACACGGAUGGUGCCUUUAGAGAUUCUGAUGAAACGACUCAAAUGCUCAACGAUAUGGAGAAGGACCAAAGGUAAU